This is a long non-coding RNA of Agrilus planipennis (emerald ash borer), 325 nucleotides long. RefSeq lists it as uncharacterized. NCBI's taxonomy places the organism in Eukaryota, Metazoa, Arthropoda, Insecta, Coleoptera, Buprestidae. The transcript has 3 exons. The record is from RefSeq and is a predicted model, not a curated record.
UGGAAAGGAAUAUGAUUUUGGAUGGUCAUCUAAAACCCACGAACUGACGACGAAGUGGAGAUUUGGGGAUUCCUUGCAUCUUCAACAUCAUUUUCGUCCAUCAUCAUCAGAAGAAUCCGAGAAAACAAAGUGGAAAGGAAUAUGAUUUUGGAUGGUCAUCUAAAACCCACGAACUGACGACGAAGUGGAGAUUUGGGGAUUCCUUGCAUCUUCAAUAUCAUUUUCGUCCAUCAUCAUCAGAAGAAUCCAAGAAAAGAAAGUGGAAAGAAAUAUGAUUUUGGAUGGUCAUCUAAAACCCACGAACUGACGACGAAGUGGAGAUUUG